Molecule: ribosomal RNA, 305 nt
Filed under: uncultured bacterium
Lineage: Bacteria
Description: bacterial SSU rRNA
Rfam family: Bacterial small subunit ribosomal RNA
Source: RNAcentral
ACCUACGGGACGCAGCAGUAGGGAAUUUUCGUCAAUGGGCGCAAGCCUGAACGAGCAAUGCCGCGUGAACGAGGAAGGUCUUCGGAUCGUAAAGUUCUGUUGAAGGGGAAAAAGAGCGGAGAGAGGAAAUGGUCUCCGAUUGAUAUUACCCUUCGAGGAAGUCACGGCUAACUACGUGCCAGCAGCCGCGGUAAUACGUAGGUGGCGAGCGUCAUCCGGAAUGAUUGGGCGUAAAGGGUGCGUAGGCGGCCUGCUAAGUCUGGAGUGAAAGGUACUGGCCCAACCGGUACAGGCUCUGGAAAAUG